UACAGAGGUGGCAAGCGUUGUUCGGAAUUACUGGGCGUAAAGGGCGCGUAGGCGGUUCGUUAAGUCCUGUGUGAAAUCCCCCGGCUCAACUGGGGAACUGCACAGGAAACUAGCGGGCUUGAGUUCGGGAGAGGGAAGCGGAAUUCCGGGUGUAGCGGUGAAAUGCGUAGAUAUCUGGAGGAACACCGGUGGCGAAAGCGACUCACUGGCCCGACACUGACACUGAGGUGCGAAAGCUAGGGUAGCAAACGGG
This 253-nucleotide ribosomal RNA is filed under the name uncultured bacterium. RNAcentral's name for it is "partial 16S ribosomal RNA". It matches the Rfam family "Bacterial small subunit ribosomal RNA", at positions 524 to 776 of the family's 1533-position model. The record is from RNAcentral.